AGACCGGUUGAUCCUGCCGGAGGGGACCCCUAUCGGGCUCGGACUAAGCCAUGCGAGUCGGCUGGGGGCCCUUGCCCCUGGCGGCGCACGGCUCAGUAAUACACGGUCAACCUACCCUGGGGACCGGGAUAACCUCGGGAAACUGAGGCUAAUCCCGGAUAGGAGCAGGGUACUGGAAUGUCCCUGCUCCGAAAGUAGGCGGGGGGGUAGCCCCGCUGAGGCCCCAGGAUGGGACCGUGGCCUAUCAGGUAGUAGGUGGGGUAACGGCCCACCUAGCCUAAGACGGGUGCGGGCGGUGGGAGCCGGAGCCCGGAGAUGGGCACUGAGACAAGGGCCUAGGCCCUACGGGGCGAAGCAGGCGCGAAAACUCCACAAUGUGCGAAAGCAUGACGGGGCUACCCCGAGUGCCGUCUGCUGAGGACGGCUUUUCUCCGGUGUAACGAACUGGAGGCAAUAAAGGGAGGGCAAGAAUGGUGUCAGCCGCCGCGGUAAUACCAACUCCCUGAGUGGUGGGGAUGAUUAUUGGGCCUAAAGCGUCCGUAGCCGGCCUGAUUAGUCCCGCGUUAAAUCCAGCGACCUAAUCGUUGGGUUGCGGGGGAUACGGUUGGGCUUGGGAGCGGGAGAGGUUAGUGGUAUUCCCG
This is a ribosomal RNA of 641 nucleotides. It matches the Rfam family "Archaeal small subunit ribosomal RNA", at positions 1 to 623 of the family's 1478-position model.